RNAcentral lists this ribosomal RNA (253 nucleotides) under uncultured bacterium. Its description in RNAcentral is "partial 16S ribosomal RNA". It matches the Rfam family "Bacterial small subunit ribosomal RNA", at positions 524 to 776 of the family's 1533-position model. The record is from RNAcentral.
UACAGAGGUCUCAAGCGUUAUUCGGAUUCAUUGGGCGUAAAGGGUGCGUAGGUGGCGCCGUAAGUCAGGUGUGAAAUUUCGGAGCUCAACUCCGAAACUGCAUUUGAUACUGCGGUGCUUGAGGACUGGAGAGGAGACUGGAAUUCACGGUGUAGCAGUGAAAUGCGUAGAUAUCGUGAGGAAGACCAGUGGCGAAGGCGGGUCUCUGGACAGUUCCUGACACUGAGGCACGAAGGCCAGGGGAGCAAACGGG